RNAcentral lists this ribosomal RNA (488 nucleotides) under Eunicella verrucosa. RNAcentral describes it as "SSU rRNA". It matches the Rfam family "Eukaryotic small subunit ribosomal RNA", at positions 65 to 534 of the family's 1831-position model. Lineage: Eukaryota; Metazoa; Cnidaria; Anthozoa; Malacalcyonacea; Eunicellidae. The record is from RNAcentral.
AUAAGCACUUGUACUGUGAAACUGCGAAUGGCUCAUUAAAUCAGUUAUCGUUUAUUUGAUUGUACUCUCUUACUACUUGGAUAACCGUAGUAAUUCUAGAGCUAAUACAUGCGAAAAGUCCCGACUCUCGUGGAAGGGAUGUAUUUAUUAGAUUAAAAACCAAUGCGGCUUCGCGGCCGCUUACCCACUUGGUGAUUCAUAGUAACUGUUCGAAUCGCAUGGCCUUGUUUCAUGUGCCGGCGAUGUUUCAUUCAAAUUUCUGCCCUAUCAACUGUCGAUGGUAAGGUAGUGGCUUACCAUGGUUGCAACGGGUGACGGAGAAUUAGGGUUCGAUUCCGGAGAGGGAGCCUGAGAAACGGCUACCACAUCCAAGGAAGGCAGCAGGCGCGCAAAUUACCCAAUCCUGACGUGGGGAGGUAGUGACAAAAAAUAACAAUACAGGGCUUUUUUGUAGUCUUGUAAUUGGAAUGAGUACAAUUUAAAUCUCU